GGCUGUGGCUCAGUGGUAAAGUGCUUGCCUGGCAUGCGUGAGGCACUGGGUUCAAUCCUCAGCACCA
RNAcentral lists this transfer RNA (67 nucleotides) under Marmota monax (woodchuck). Its description in RNAcentral is "tRNA.Ala". Lineage: Eukaryota; Metazoa; Chordata; Mammalia; Rodentia; Sciuridae. The record is from RNAcentral.